CCCCAGAUAGCUGAGAAAGAAUCCGCCUGCAAGGCGGAAAGCCUGGGUUCGAUCCCUGGGUUGGGAA
This 67-nucleotide transfer RNA is filed under the name Bos taurus (domestic cattle). It matches the Rfam family "tRNA". From Rfam's summary of the family: Transfer RNA (tRNA) molecules are approximately 80 nucleotides in length. Their secondary structure includes four short double-helical elements and three loops (D, anti-codon, and T loops). RNAcentral also lists the same sequence under 2 other names. The record is from Rfam by way of RNAcentral. Lineage: Eukaryota; Metazoa; Chordata; Mammalia; Artiodactyla; Bovidae.